Triplophysa rosa is the source of this 370-nucleotide long non-coding RNA. RefSeq lists it as uncharacterized. The record is from RefSeq and is a predicted model, not a curated record. NCBI's taxonomy places the organism in Eukaryota, Metazoa, Chordata, Actinopteri, Cypriniformes, Nemacheilidae. The transcript has 4 exons.
UUGAAGAUCUUUGUAAGAUUUUGGAUAGACUGCACCUGUCCGAACGAUCCUGUACAACACUAAACAGGCCAAAGCCUCUUCUUCGUCCGGCCACUUCUGUUUUUACAGAACAACCAACAUUUGAUGAACAAGUGUGUCAUGUAUCUACUUGGAUUUGUUCUCAACUGGUUUUGCACAACAUCAGACGCUGGCUGGACAAGAGAUAUGGACAAGAGACAUGGACAGAGCCCCUGCCCCACCUAUACCGGCUCAUUCACCUGAGCAUUCACCUGCUCCCCACCCUAAGCCUGACAGCUACAGAGCCGGGAUGCACCUCAAAUGCAGCCAGUAGACACCAAAUGGCUGAAUCAGAGAAGCAGCAAAAAACAAU